CCUACGUGAGGCUGCAGUCGAGAAUCAUUCACAAUGGGGGAAACCCUGAUGGUGUGACGCCGCGUGGAGGAUGAAGGUCUUCGGAUUGUAAACUCCUGUCAAGUGGGAGUAAACCUGCGCGUUAACUGCGUCGCAGUUUGAGCGUACCACUAGAGGAAGAGACGGCUAACUCUGUGCCAGCAGCCGCGGUAAUACAGAGGUCUCAAGCGUUGUUCGGGAUCACGGAGCGUAAGAGGUGCGUAGGCUGCGAAAUCCCGGGGCUCAACCUCGGAAUGGCAUCCGAUACUGCAUUGCUUGAGGACUGGAGAGGAGUCUGGAAUUCAUGGUGGAGCAGUGAAAUGCGUAGAUAUCAUGAGGAACACUAGUGGCGUAGGCGAGACUCUGGACAGUUCCUGACGCUGAGGCACGAAGGCCAGGGGAGCAAACGGGAUUAGAUACCCGAGUAGUC
This 448-nucleotide ribosomal RNA is filed under the name uncultured bacterium. Its description in RNAcentral is "partial 16S ribosomal RNA". It matches the Rfam family "Bacterial small subunit ribosomal RNA", at positions 338 to 795 of the family's 1533-position model. The record is from RNAcentral.